UACGUAGGGGGCGAGCGUUGUCCGGAUUUAUUGGGCGUAAAGAGCUCGUAGGCGGUUUGGUAAGUCGGGUGUGAAAUCUCCACGCUCAACGUGGAGGGGCCACUCGAUACUGCCAUGACUCGAGUCCGGUAGAGGAGUGUGGAAUUCCAGGUGUAGCGGUGAAAUGCGUAGAUAUCUGGAGGAAUACCGGUGGCGAAGGCGGCAUCCUGGACCGGCAUUGACGCUGAGGAGCGAAAGCCAGGGGAGCAAACGGG
Molecule: ribosomal RNA, 254 nt
Filed under: uncultured bacterium
Lineage: Bacteria
Description: partial 16S ribosomal RNA
Rfam family: Bacterial small subunit ribosomal RNA
Source: RNAcentral